GAUGUUAAACCAAUGAAAUUUGAUAGAAUUGGGUGAAUAUUGAAAAUGUUGUUGUUGUUGAACCCAGGAAAUUUGAUUGAAUUGUGUGAAUGAUGAAAAUGUUGAUGUUAAACCCAUGAAAUUUGAUUGAAUUGUGUGAAUGAUGAAAAUGUUGUUGUUAAACUCAUAAAAUUUGAUUGAAUUGUAUGAAUGAUAAAAAUGUUGUCGUUAAAGCUGUGAAAGUUGAUUGAAUUCUGU
RNAcentral lists this long non-coding RNA (237 nucleotides) under Lathyrus oleraceus (garden pea). RNAcentral describes it as "Pisum sativum (pea) long non-coding RNA (PSAT_LNC040732)". Lineage: Eukaryota; Viridiplantae; Streptophyta; Magnoliopsida; Fabales; Fabaceae. The record is from RNAcentral.